UGUUUCAUAGUAGUAAAGGUAUUUUUUUCCGUAGGUGGCCAAGAUGUUGAUAAAAGUAAAACACAGAGAGACAAAGAAAUAUUCAAAAUUGGAAGAAGUCAGCUUCACAGAUUUUGUGAGAGCAGGUAAGUUAUGGUUUGUACUAAGUCAUUAAAGAAGAAAUGAUAAUGUUGUUAUUAACUAAGUGAUGAUUUUACUUCAGUGCAGCAGAAGUUUCUCAUACCAGAAAAUGCAGCACUGAAAGUCACGGAUGAGCAGGGUAUAGAGGUGGAUGAGGAUAUCUUUCCUGAACUUGCAGCAGUCAAAGAGGUGUGUUUUGUCAUCGAUACAGCUGAAGGUAAGUAAAUAUAUGCUCUGAUAGAUUUUGAAGGAUUUGAUUUGUACAGUUACUCUUAAAUAAACAUUUUUAAUUUGUCUAAUAUCCUGUGGUAACAAUCACAAAAUGCUGUUUUCAUGGCUCAACAGUAAGUUGGAUUUAUCACAUGCAUUUCAGACAUCCUGGAAACACAAUCAUCCAAGAAGCUGCGUGACUGCUCAGACCUAACACACUAUGUGACACUCACACCUUGUGAUUUGACUGUCCUGAAGCAACAUGUGGAAGAGCCCUCCUCUCCAAGUCUAACAGAUACAUUGUCUGUCUCAACCACCAGCAGUCAGAGCAGUGACACAAGUGAUGCCGGACUUCAAAUGGUUCAGCCUCUAUUGGACAGCAUACAUGAAAGAAAUGUAGAUACAGUACUUAAUUGACUUAUACUUGACUCUUUAGUUGCCAUUACUUGAAAAAGCUUAAACACGAAGAUAAAACAGAUUAGAGAAAAAUAAUUUAAUAUAGUAUUUCAUGUAGUUUGCUCUGCAACUGUAGUGUGUAAUAAGACUUGCUCUCUCUCUCUCGCUCUCUCUCUGUUUUUGUUAUGCAUGUUAACCAUGAAACGUGUUUCCAUGAUCAGUGUCCUGCUUUUCAGGUAAAUGAAACCAUUUUUAAGAAGAUACUGGUCCUAGAAAGGGAGAAAGUAAGACAUUUCAAAUGUUUUGAUUCCCAAAUGUCAUAUGGGUGUGAUUCACAAUUUUAUGUUCUGUGAGAGAGUUGCAUUACUUAAUUUGUUGGCUUGAUGGAGACUUUACAGAGUCUUCCUCACGUUAACACUGCAUUACAAGAAGUGCUUAUUCUGUAGUCAUUUUUUUCCUUUAAUUCUGUUUUUUUUUUUCUUUUCGCCCAAUGUUAGGCCUUUCUGACCUCAACUGUUUAGCUGCCAAUAAUGGUGGAUAUUAUGCUAUUACAGUACUGUUACACAGAAUGUAUGUUAAUCCAUGCAGCAUUCAUAUUUGAAUAUGUUAUUUUUGAUAAAUAAAAUCCAUACAUUCAUAAUAA
This is a non-coding RNA of Maylandia zebra (zebra mbuna), 1369 nucleotides long. Lineage: Eukaryota; Metazoa; Chordata; Actinopteri; Cichliformes; Cichlidae. The record is from RefSeq and is a predicted model, not a curated record.